AAGGCAUCUAUUAGCUUUCUAAGUUGCUUUCCUGUUCAUCGGUCAGGGUUCUAAGCGUUACACCCACGCGCGUUCUUAGCACGGAUUCACUUUCCCAUGCCCGAGCCUCACUAGGCGUUACACCCAUGCGCAUUCUUACCACGGAUUCACUUUCCAGUGCCCGAGCCUCACUAGGCGUUACACCCGCGCGCGUUCUUAGCACGGAUUCACUUUCCCAUGCCCGAGCCUCACUAGGCGUUACACUCACGCGCGUUCUUAGCACGGAUUCACUUUCCCGUGCCCGAGCCUCACUAGGCAUUACACUCACGCGCGUUCUUAGCACGGAUUCACUUUCCAGUGCCCGAGCCUCACUAGGCGUUACACCCACGUGCGUUCUUAGCACGGAUUCACUUUCCCGUGCCCGAGCCUCACUAGGCGUUACACUCACACGCGUUCUUAGCACGGAUUCACUUUCCCAUGCCCGAGCCUCACUAGGCGUUGCACCCACGCGCAUUCUUACCACGGA
Long non-coding RNA from Sapajus apella (tufted capuchin), 505 nucleotides. RefSeq lists it as uncharacterized. The record is from RefSeq and is a predicted model, not a curated record. Lineage: Eukaryota; Metazoa; Chordata; Mammalia; Primates; Cebidae. The transcript has 2 exons.